Molecule: non-coding RNA, 1157 nt
Organism: Bactrocera oleae (olive fruit fly)
Lineage: Eukaryota; Metazoa; Arthropoda; Insecta; Diptera; Tephritidae
Source: RefSeq, a predicted model, not a curated record
UCUUGACAAUUUUCAUUGGUCUUACAUAUGUACAUAUAUGACUAAUUAUGUUUGCUGUAAAUAUUCAUAUCUUUUCUACAACUACAAAUAUGAGUUGCAGAUUACUUCAAAUUUUUAGAAAUUGUGACAUCAUCCAUUUAGUUCUAAUUAAUAUUUUUAUCAAAAUACAUGUGCCGAUAUGUGCAUAUCAAAGUACUACGUUAAAGUAUUUGUCAUAAGCAAUGAUUUUCAUUUUAGUUACAGAAAUCGCUUCUGCGGGCCCAGAAAAUAUUCACAAUAAAGUUGAAACUUUCUCUAAACUUGUAGUUCCAUGGGAAAAAACACUUAAAGUAAUGUCCUUCGAUCGAAGCUGAUACUCAAAUUGAAAUUGUAAAAGAAAGGAAAUCAGUAAUUUAUGAUUGUCGUUUGGAGUGACUUUUGAUUGGAGAAUUCAACCUUGUCUGAAUUGAGUUAUAUGAUAAACAAGUGCAUAAAAUAACGUAAGUGAUGUUAUUCAAACAUCCUACUAAUGUACUACAUUUAGUGGCUACUGCUCACUUAUUAUGGUUUGUUUGACUUGCAACAUGUUACAACCAAGAGUGGUAUCGAACUAUUGCCUCCCCCCAAAAUGCCGCUAAUCAAAAAACUAUAAAGUGCCAUAACCAAUAUCCACAUUAAGAUACCAAACCGUUAUUUGAUACAAUGAAUCGCAUUAAGGAAACAGCUCUUUGGUUUGAAAAGUUUUUAAAUGUGGGCGUGGCCCCGCCCUCUAAUAGGUUUAAUGUGCAUAUCUCACAAGCUACUAAAGCGAUCUCAACCUAACUUGUUAAGAAAAGCAUAACUUUUUAGCAUAUCCUCAAACAGUAUGAAAUUAGGUGAAAUCAGAUGACAACUACGCGCACUCCCCAUAUAACGGUACGAAAGAACUUCAUGGGUAAAAUCCUAUAUCUUGGGGACCACUUUACCGAUUUCAGCUAAAUAUUUGGAUUAUUUAGUUAAUUUAAACUUAAAUAGAGCAUUAUGUUUUUAAACUGCAUGCCUGAAAUUUUCUAUAAAUUUCGAUGUAAAAUCGAUUGUCAAAUUUUCAAAUUGUGAGUUGUAUUUCAUUAAACUGGAAUUAUAUUUUCAUAAAAAAGAGAUUGAAAAGUUAUAAAUAAACCUAAAAAGAUAAAAGUGUA